Molecule: ribosomal RNA, 1218 nt
Filed under: Triticum aestivum (bread wheat)
Lineage: Eukaryota; Viridiplantae; Streptophyta; Magnoliopsida; Poales; Poaceae
Description: partial small subunit ribosomal RNA
Source: RNAcentral
AUGCACGACAGUGCUGUUGGAGGCCACUCCGGCUCGACAGCCACUUACCAGCGCAUCAAGAAGCUGUUCGAGUGGAAGGGCCUGAAGCAGGACGUCGACGACUACGUGCGGCAAUGCCAAGUUUGCCAACAGGCAAAGCACAAGCUGCGCAAACCAGCGGGCAAGCUGGCACCCUUGCCCGUCCCAACGACUCCGUGGCAAGAUCUGACAAUGGAUUUCGUCGAGGGCCUGCCCAAGUCCGAAGGGUACGACGCCAUCAUGGUGGUGGUCGAACGCUUCACCAAGUUCGCACACUUCAUGCCCUUGCUCCAUCCGUUCACGACGACUCAGGUGGCGAAGGUGUUCUGGGACAACAUCGUCAAAUUGCACGGAAUUCCUUCCUCCAUCGUGUCAGAUCGCGACAAGGUGUUCACCAGUGUGCUCUGGCACGAGCUGCUUUCCGGCGUAGGCACCAAGCUCCUCUACUCGACGGCGUACCACCCACAGACUAACGGACAGAGUGAGCGGGUGAAUCAGUGCAUGGAAAUGUACCUGCGUUGUGCUGUCCAUGACACUCCGCGCCAAUGGCGUCGCUGGCUGCCCUCUGCCGAGUUCUGGUACAACUCCUCAUUCCAUUCAUCCUUGGGUUGCUCUCCAUUCAAGGCGCUGUACGGGGUAGAAGCAAAUGAGGGGAGCAUGGCCACUUGGCCGGCAACACAAGCAGCAUUGCCGGAUGGUGAACAGUGGGAUUGGGCAGUGCAUAAAGAGCAGUUGCAAGCACAGUUGGCUCGGGCGCAGACUAAGUACAAGAAGUUUGCAGACCGGAAUCGCACUGAGCGCGUCUUUCAGGUCGGGGAGCAAGUGCUGCUUAAACUCCAACCUUACGUUCAGAAAUCUGUGGCCAGCCGCCCGUGCGCCAAGUUGGCAUUCAAGUUCUUUGGACCAUUCUCAAUCAUAGCCAAGAUCGGUCCCUCGGUGUACAAACUGGAUCUGCCGCCCGACAGUCGCAUACAUCUGGUGUUCCAUGUUUCCCAACUGAAGCCCUUCACACCCAACUAUACACCGGUGUUCUCUGAACUGCCUGCAACUGCAGACCUGUCGGCAGUCGAUUCCCAGCCUGUGGAGAUACGGGACCGGCGAAUGAUGAAGAAGGGCGACGCGCCGGUGGUUCAGAUUCAAGUGGCAUGGAACACCACACCCCCAUCAACAACCUGGGAAGACUAUGAGGUUCUUCGAUGA